Molecule: ribosomal RNA, 637 nt
Filed under: Amanita pseudoporphyria
Lineage: Eukaryota; Fungi; Basidiomycota; Agaricomycetes; Agaricales; Amanitaceae
Description: LSU rRNA
Rfam family: Eukaryotic large subunit ribosomal RNA
Source: RNAcentral
UCAAUAAGCGGAGGAAAAGAAACUAACAAGGAUUCCCCUAGUAACUGCGAGUGAAGCGGGAAAAGCUCAAAUUUAAAAUCUGACAGUUUUUGCUGUCCGAAUUGUAGCCUAGAGAAGUGUUGUCCGCGCCGGACCGUGUAUAAGUCUCCUGGGAUGGAGCAUCAUAGAGGGUGAGAAUCCUGUGUUUGACAUGGACUACCGGUGCAUUGUGGCAUGCUCUCAAAGAGUUGAGUUGUUUGGGAAUGCAGCUCUAAAAGGGUGGUAAAUUCCAUCUAAAGCUAAAUAUUGGCGAGAGACCGAUAGCGAACAAGUACCGUGAGGGAAAGAUGAAAAGAACUUUGGAAAGAGAGUUAAACAGUAUGUGAAAUUGUUGAAAGGGAAACGCUUGAAGUCAGUCGCAUUGGUUGGGGAUCAGCUUAGUUUAUUUGCUGAGUGUAAUUCCUAAUGGAUGGGUCAGCAUGAGUUUUGAUCGCUGGAGAAAGGCUAUUGGGAAUGUGGCACCUUUGGGUGUGUUAUAGCUCAUGGUUGUAUGCAGCGGUUAGGACUGAGGAAGGCAGCGCGCCGCAAGGACGGGUUUCGACCACGUUCGCGCUUAGGAUGUUGGCAUAAUGGCUUUAAGCGACCCGUCUUGAAACAC